Molecule: ribosomal RNA, 460 nt
Filed under: uncultured bacterium
Lineage: Bacteria
Description: partial 16S ribosomal RNA
Rfam family: Bacterial small subunit ribosomal RNA
Source: RNAcentral
CCUACGGGUGGCAGCAGUGAGGAAUAUUGGUCAAUGGACGAGAGUCUGAACCAGCCAAGUAGCGUGAAGGAUGACUGCCCUAUGGGUUGUAAACUUCUUUUAUAUGGGAAUAAAAUGUUCCACGUGUGGGAUUUUGUAUGUACCAUAUGAGUAAGGAUCGGCUAACUCCGUGCCAGCAGCCGCGGUAAUACGGAGGAUCCGAGCGGUAUCCGGAUUUAUUGGGUUUAAAGGGAGCGUAGGUGGAUUGUUAAGUCAGUUGUGAAAGUUUGCGGCUCAACCGUAAAAUUGCAGUUGAAACUGGCAGUCUUGAGUACAGGAGAGGUGGGCGGAAUUCGUGGUGUAGCGGUGAAAUGCUUAGAUAUCACGAAGAACUCCGAUUGCGAAGGCAGCUUACUGGACUGCAACUGACACUGAGGCUCGAAAGUGUGGGUAUCAAACAGGAUUAGAUACCCGAGUAGUC